Molecule: transfer RNA, 77 nt
Filed under: Candidatus Omnitrophota bacterium
Lineage: Bacteria; Pseudomonadati; Candidatus Omnitrophota
Description: tRNA-Val
Rfam family: tRNA
About the family: Transfer RNA (tRNA) molecules are approximately 80 nucleotides in length. Their secondary structure includes four short double-helical elements and three loops (D, anti-codon, and T loops). Further hydrogen bonds mediate the characteristic L-shaped molecular structure. tRNAs have two regions of fundamental functional importance: the anti-codon, which is responsible for specific mRNA codon recognition, and the 3' end, to which the tRNAs corresponding amino acid is attached (by aminoacyl-tRNA synthetases). tRNAs cope with the degeneracy of the genetic code in two manners: having more than one tRNA (with a specific anti-codon) for a particular amino acid; and 'wobble' base-pairing, i.e. permitting non-standard base-pairing at the 3rd anti-codon position.
Source: RNAcentral
GGACUCAUAGCUCAGCUGGUUAGAGCGCAUCCUUGACAUGGAUGAGGUCAGAGGUUCGAUCCCUCUUGAGUCCACCA